RNAcentral lists this long non-coding RNA (606 nucleotides) under Volvox carteri. RNAcentral's name for it is "long non-coding RNA (VCAR_LNC000983)". The record is from RNAcentral. Lineage: Eukaryota; Viridiplantae; Chlorophyta; Chlorophyceae; Chlamydomonadales; Volvocaceae.
CAAUCCGUGAAUGACAGGUCACACCUUUGCACGUCAAGUCUUACAACGACAUGCACAGAACAAAGUCAAACACUUUCUAACGUGUCGGAUUACGUUGAACGCCGCUGUUGAAUCUUACGACCGGUUCCAUACACUCCUCCACAAACGAAAUUCCUGUGCUAAAUGUGUCCAAACUUAGGACUUUAUGGAUAGGAAUUUCAAGCGGACAGCCCCAGGACGCACAGACAGCCGUCAAGGUUCGACCAUAUCCUUCCGUCGGCAGUCCAUCCUACAAAAGGUGAAAAAGGGAAGGGGAAUAUCGGAACCCCUGGAUUCUUUUCCUCACUGGUAACCGUUGGUUUACCUGGCGCGUCGUCUCUUUGUCAAUGCCUUCGUUCAAAUGCUCCUUGCAGCAGCCGUCCUGAUUCACACAGCCCAAAAACUGCACGCACUAUAAAAACGUCUUUAACACCGCAUUCCUUCACAUCGCGUGAAAGACCCGAGUGAGACAGCAGCCCCAAGAAUCCUGGUUCGUUAGCACCAACCUGCUGUAGCCAGCUCCAACUUCAACGGCAAGCUCGUCCUUGCCACCUAGGGCACGCCUCUGGAAGGAAGAGCGUCGUUCCG